RNAcentral lists this ribosomal RNA (413 nucleotides) under uncultured bacterium. Its description in RNAcentral is "partial 16S ribosomal RNA". It matches the Rfam family "Bacterial small subunit ribosomal RNA", at positions 360 to 774 of the family's 1533-position model. The record is from RNAcentral.
AAUAUUGCGCAAUGGAGGGAACUCUGACGCAGCGACGCCGCGUGAGCGAUGAAGGNCUNNGGAUCNUNAAGCUCUUUCCUUGGNNNNNUAGUGAGCCGUCAUGCUUCUUACCGAUACUCUUGGAUGAAGCUCCUGCUAACUACGUGCCAGCAGCCGCGGUAAUACGUAGGGGGCAAGCGGUGUCCGGAAUUAUUGGGCGUAAAGGGUGCGUAGGCGGCCCUUUAAGUCAGAUGUGAAAGCCCACGGCUUAACCGUGGGACUGCAUUUGAAACUGGAGGGCUUGAGUGUCGGAGAGGGCAGUGGAAUUCCCAGUGUAGCGGUGGAAUGCGUAGAUAUUGGGAGGAACACCAGUGGCGAAGGCGACUGCCUGGACGAUAACUGACGCUGAGGCACGAAAGCUAGGGGAGCAAACA